CACAGGGCUUCACCCUGUGUUAUAAUAUGACGUCCUUUCAGGACU
This is a small RNA of Marivirga tractuosa DSM 4126, 45 nucleotides long. It matches the Rfam family "Acido-Lenti-1 RNA". Lineage: Bacteria; Pseudomonadati; Bacteroidota; Cytophagia; Cytophagales; Marivirgaceae. The record is from Rfam.